RNAcentral lists this ribosomal RNA (458 nucleotides) under uncultured Gammaproteobacteria bacterium. Its description in RNAcentral is "partial 16S ribosomal RNA". Lineage: Bacteria; Pseudomonadati; Pseudomonadota; Gammaproteobacteria. The record is from RNAcentral.
CUACGUUAGCUGCGCCACUGAGAAACAUUGUUUCCCAACAGCUAGUUGACAUCGUUUACGGCGCGGACUACCAGGGUAUCUAAUCCUGUUCGCUACCCACGCUUUCGCACCUUAGUGUCAGUACGGAUCCAGGAGGCUGCCUUCGCCAUUGGUAUUCUUCACAAUAUCUACGCAUUCCACCGCUACACUGUGAAUUCUACCUCCCUCUAUCGUACUCUAGUGAAUCAGUUUUGGAUGCAGUUCCCAGGUUGAGCCCGGGGAUUUCACAUCCAACUUAAUAAACCACCUACGCGCGCUUUACGCCCAGUAAUUCCGAUUAACGCUUGGACUCUCCGUAUUACCGCGGCUGCUGGCACGGAGUUAGCCGGUCCUUAUUCUGUAAGUAAUGUCAUGGUCAUUGGGUAUUAACCAAUGACUUUUCUUCCUUACCUAAAGUGCUUUACAACCCGAAGGCCUUC